Molecule: ribosomal RNA, 267 nt
Filed under: uncultured bacterium
Lineage: Bacteria
Description: partial 16S ribosomal RNA
Rfam family: Bacterial small subunit ribosomal RNA
Source: RNAcentral
GUCCUAGCCCUAAACGAUGUUCAUUAGAUGUGGGAGGUAUCGACCCCUUCCGCGUCGGCGCUAACGCAUUAAAUGAACCGCCUGGGGAGUACGGCCGCAAGGUUGAAACUCAAAGGAAUUGACGGGGGCCCGCACAAGCGGUGGAGUAUGUGGUUUAAUUCGACGCAACGCGAAGAACCUUACCUGGGCUUGAACUACUCGUGGUAGAUCGCUGGAAACAGUUGUCGACCCGCAAGGGAGCGAGCAGAGGUGCUGCAUGGUUGUCGU